UACGUAGGGUGCGAGCGUUAAUCGGAAUUACUGGGCGUAAAGCGUGCGCAGGCGGGCUUUUAAGCCAGACGUGAAAUCCCCGGGCUUAACCUGGGAAUGGCGUUUGGGACUGGAAGUCUGGAGUGCGGCAGAGGAGACUGGAAUUCCUGGUGUAGCAGUGAAAUGCGUAGAUAUCAAGAGGAACACCUGAGGUGAAGACGGGUUGCUGGGCUGACACUGACGCUGAGGCGCGAAAGCCAGGGGAGCAAACGGG
Molecule: ribosomal RNA, 253 nt
Filed under: uncultured bacterium
Lineage: Bacteria
Description: partial 16S ribosomal RNA
Rfam family: Bacterial small subunit ribosomal RNA
Source: RNAcentral